This is a non-coding RNA of Camelina sativa (false flax), 1159 nucleotides long. The record is from RefSeq and is a predicted model, not a curated record. Lineage: Eukaryota; Viridiplantae; Streptophyta; Magnoliopsida; Brassicales; Brassicaceae.
UGUGAUCUCUCAGCCACCGCAGCCUGAGCAGACAUUAAUAUCACAAAAAAGACUAAAAUCUGGGAUCUGAUUCGACCUAUUUUUUUUUUCAUUUUCUCUCUAAUCUUCAACAUUCUUAUUCCCCUUUCUCUUUGAAUUUGUGUUCUUCCUCUCUUUUCUCUCUUCAAAUAUAUCAGCCACUCUCGCUCCCUUCUCUCAUCAACACCAAUCUUUGUUAGAACCUUAAACUCUCGCAUAUGCUGUCUCGUGAAUCUCAUAGUCAUGGGACAAACUUCGCCGCCGAGAAAGGAAUUCCCCAAAUUCGAAACCAUACUUCUCCUCCGAAGAAAUCCUCAAGGGAUUUGAGAAACCAAUAUCGUUUAGGUUACUGGCGGCUAAAGUAAUGGAUCUGGAGAAAGCAGGUAUGAUGUAUUUUAUCUCAAGUGGAUAUGACGAUCCUUGUUAAAUGUUCGUCCUUAGAAGGAUACUCAAAAAGGAAUAGUUGAAGCAUUAUAAUGGCGACGAGAGAGAAAACAAGUCUCUGAGAGGUAUGUACUCAAUCGUUGCCAAACCUUCUUAAAAAGGUAACAACAUAAACUGGUUCUAAUGAUUUGAUCGAUGAAUUUGCUUCUUUUUUUUAAAGUUGUUAUUGUUGUUGUUGUUGGUUUUGAUUACAACUAUAAUUUUUAAGGUUUAAUUAUUUUGUGAAUCAGAUCAAAGAAGGAGAUCAAAGGUAGAGACCAUAUGUGUACAACUAAUUCCAUUGAAUGACACCAUUCCUUCACUUAUGUCUGAUUUUGGUGUUAUUAUAUGUUCUUUGUGUUGCUUUUACUUUGUAACCCUAGUACGACGUCUUCAGAUCUGGAAGUGAUGACAACGAAGGAAUCUCCAUUGAAGAUCAAUACGCCGCCGAUAAGCCUCCAAGGUCCAAUCGAACCAGGCUUGAACCAAAAUUUGAACAAUUAGAGAAGUAAACCGGGUUUAGUCAGCUGGUAAACCGUUAUGACUUUUGUUUAGGCAGACGAAGUUAGAGGGAGAAUCUUAACGCUUUUGUUUUUGCGGGGUUGUUUUGUAAACUUUAAGUUUUAUUUGAGGGUUGGGGCAUAAUAUGUAAAUACGGUUUAACAAUUUAUUUUCUCGUUUUAUCGCAUUAAUUAUGAAGUCUCUAUCUCUCUCUUAA